Molecule: unclassified non-coding RNA, 344 nt
Filed under: soil metagenome
Description: partial contains 5.8S ribosomal RNA, internal transcribed spacer 2, and large subunit ribosomal RNA
Rfam family: 5.8S ribosomal RNA (bases 3-119)
Source: RNAcentral
GAGAAGAACGUAGUGAAAUGCGAUACGUAAUGUGAAUUGCAGAAUUCAGUGAAUCAUCGAGUCUUUGAACGCACAUUGCGCCCCCUGGUAUUCCGGGGGGCAUGCCUGUCCGAGCGUCAUUGCUGCCCUCAAGCACGGCUUGUGUGUUGGGCCUCCGUCCUCCUCCCGGGGGACGGGCCCGAAAGGCAGCGGCGGCACCGCGUCCGGUCCUCGAGCGUAUGGGGCUUCGUCACCCGCUCUUGUAGGCCCGGCCGGCGCUUGCCGACACAUCAAUCUUUUUUCCAGGUUGACCUCGGAUCAGGUAGGGAUACCCGCUGAACUUAAGCAUAUCAAUAAGCGGAGGA